GGGGGCGCCAAGGUUUCGACGGGAUGGUUGAAGCUUAGGUUGCGUGUCGAGGAUGUCUGGUUGGCCUCGUUAAACAUCCGGGCAAAAACAUUAAGUGCUGAUACUGAAUUAGCUCUCGCUGCUUAAAUAAAAGCAACGCGUCUCGCCGCCGACACCUGCUAGGCGGACCGAGGCGACGACAGCAGGAUAGUCAUCAUAGUGCGUCUCAGGCUAUGACGGUGAAACCAUGCUGAGACUGGCGGCUGUAAUGGCAUGUUUGUCUGCAGUUACAGUGGCGAGACUUAACGACAGAACACACACGUAGAAGCUUGAGUGACUCUAUUUCGGACGCGGGUUCGAUUCCCGCCGCCUCCAG
Molecule: transfer-messenger RNA, 355 nt
Filed under: Kiritimatiellia bacterium
Lineage: Bacteria; Pseudomonadati; Kiritimatiellota; Kiritimatiellia
Rfam family: transfer-messenger RNA
About the family: Bacterial tmRNA, also known as 10Sa RNA or SsrA, is named for its dual tRNA and mRNA-like properties. Its role is to liberate the mRNA from a stalled ribosome.
Source: RNAcentral